Cucurbita pepo subsp. pepo (vegetable marrow) is the source of this 1474-nucleotide RNA transcript. RefSeq lists it as uncharacterized. The record is from RefSeq and is a predicted model, not a curated record. NCBI's taxonomy places the organism in Eukaryota, Viridiplantae, Streptophyta, Magnoliopsida, Cucurbitales, Cucurbitaceae.
UCACUUCAUCUAUGAAAUUGAAUCGUUCUUCUAAGCAUUUCAUUCAUCAAGCUUGUUUUUGUUGAGCGGAUUGAAGCUUCAGGGUCAACGAUCGGCCAGCUCGGUCUUCCCAAGGGAAGAAUUCGAGAGCAAACGAUGAACCCAUCAACAAAAUGAAUCGAAUUCUUCAACAAAAUCAAUAGCCCUUUCAAUGGCGUCAUUAGCAGCGCAUCUCUCCGCCGCCCUCUUCCUCGUUCCCAUAGGCGUUCGUCGGCUACUCUGUUCUUCCUCUGUUUACAUCAACAACCCAUCGCUUUACCGAUCAAGAACAUGGUACUUAUCCGAACCCAAAUGGAAAAAUUUCGAUUUAUAUUCUCUGAUCCUCCUCCUCCCCAUUGCCGCCUUCUCUGAAAUCUUCCUUUUCCUUGCAUUUUCCGGGAACCCCACUUACAAAUUUGCAUUUUCCCACCAAUCAAUGGCCAUUUUCUUCUUCUGGGCCCUCACGAUUCUCAUUAUUUUGCGGGAAAAUCUCGACCCUCUUCUUGUAAGUGAGAGUUUCAUCUUCGUUUUCGCUGGAAUCGCUUUUCUCAUUGAGUAUUCAGUGAUUGGCAAUGGUAUUACUGGUCUUGGUGGCGCUUUUUAUCACUUAUCUAGCGGAUUAGCCCUUCUUUGUGCUUGUUGUUGCCUGUAUUUAUCUGUGAAACCCUCUGCAUUUUUCGCUGAAUUUCUACUUUCUUCUGGCUUAACGUUUAAGGGUACAUGGAUGUUCCAAAUUGGGUUGUCUUUGUAUACCGAUGCGUUUGCUUUGAAGGGUUGUCGUGCAAUGUUGGUAUUGCCUGCUACACAAGAUGCUUUUGUUCAAUGUGAUCUUGAGGAGGAUCAGAUGAGGGGUAUUGCUUUGAUGAACUUAAUAUUCAUUGGCCAUGCUUUUUUGGUUUUGAUCUUGGGUUUUGGCUUGAUUGGUUUGUUGUCUUGCAACAAGCUUUUUAGGUGCCGCGAGGGGAGCGGCCCUUUGUUGGCUGAGUUUGGACAAGAAACCAUGUUGAGUUCAUCGUCUCCUGAGAUUGAAAUGGAGUGAAAUUAGAAAUGAAGUAGAUUAGUUUGCCUGCUGUUUAGUGUGAAGAAAGUCUUCAUCAAAGACACUUUAGUUUAAAACGUGUAGGCCUACCGAGCGGGUACUUUCAAAUCUGAAAGCACGAAUCCUCGGUGAAGAAUAUAAUCCCUCUCUUAUUUCUUUUUUGUAUCCCCCUGUUCCAAUCUCCUUCUCGAGUCUUGGGAAAUUGAAGCGACCCCACCUUUUCUACCGAGAUUGAGAAGUAGUGAUAAGGGUUCGAGUCUGCUUAUCUCCACUUCAACUGCAGCAACUUCAAAGAGCCUCGUUGACAAACAAAAUCUCAGAAUCUCCACGGUUCCAGCUACGUGAGUUCAGACAACCAAUCCGAGAGGCUCGAAUGCACCGGGUUUUCUUGCUUUUGAGUAUCAGGUAAGCUCGAAC